RNAcentral lists this ribosomal RNA (371 nucleotides) under uncultured organism. RNAcentral describes it as "bacterial SSU rRNA". It matches the Rfam family "Bacterial small subunit ribosomal RNA", at positions 526 to 896 of the family's 1533-position model. The record is from RNAcentral.
CAGAGGUCCCAAGCGUUGUUCGGAUUCACUGGGCGUAAAGGGUGCGUAGGUGGUCGGGUAAGUCUGAUGUGAAAUCUCAGAGCUCAACUCUGAAACUGCAUUGGAUACUAUUUGACUAGAGGGUCGGAGGGGGACUGGAAUUCUCGGUGUAGCAGUGAAAUGCGUAGAUAUCGAGAGGAACACCAGUGGCGAAGGCGAGUCCCUGGACGACUCCUGACACUGAGGCACGAAAGCUAGGGGAGCAAACAGGAUUAGAUACCCUGGUAGUCCUAGCUGUAAACGGUGCGUAUUUGCUGUAAAAGGAAUCGACCCCUUUUGUGGCGUAGCUAACGCGAUAAAUACGCCGCCUGGGAAGUACGGUCGCAAGAUUA